GUGAACGCUGGCGGCAGGCCUAACACAUGCAAGUCGAGCGGCAGCGGGUCCUUCGGGAUGCCGGCGAGCGGCGGACGGGUGAGGAAUGCGUCAGAAUCUGCCUUUUUGUGGGGGAUAACGUAGGGAAACUUACGCUAAUACCGCAUACGACCUACGGGUGAAAGUGGGGGACCGCAAGGCCUCACGCAGAAAGAUGAGCCGACGUCGGAUUAGCUAGUUGGCGGGGUAAAGGCCCACCAAGGCGACGAUCCGUAGCUGGUCUGAGAGGAUGAUCAGCCACACUGGAACUGAGACACGGUCCAGACUCCUACGGGAGGCAGCAGUGGGGAAUAUUGGACAAUGGGCGCAAGCCUGAUCCAGCCAUGCCGCGUGUGUGAAGAAGGCCUUCGGGUUGUAAAGCACUUUUGUCCGGAAAGAAAUCCUGUCGGCUAAUACCCGGCGGGGAUGACGGUACCGGAAGAAUAAGCACCGGCUAACUUCGUG
RNAcentral lists this ribosomal RNA (483 nucleotides) under uncultured bacterium. RNAcentral describes it as "partial 16S ribosomal RNA". It matches the Rfam family "Bacterial small subunit ribosomal RNA", at positions 29 to 507 of the family's 1533-position model. The record is from RNAcentral.